Molecule: ribosomal RNA, 460 nt
Filed under: uncultured bacterium
Lineage: Bacteria
Description: partial 16S ribosomal RNA
Rfam family: Bacterial small subunit ribosomal RNA
Source: RNAcentral
CCUACGGGGGGCAGCAGUGAGGAAUAUUGGUCAAUGGCCGGAAGGCUGAACCAGCCAUGCCGCGUGAAGGUCAGUGCCCUAUGGGCGUUAAACUUCUUUUGUGCGGGAGCAAUAAUGGUCACGUGUGGCCAGACGAGAGUACCGUACGAAUAAGCAUCGGCUAACUCCGUGCCAGCAGCCGCGGUAAUACGGGGGAUGCAAGCGUUAUCCGGAUUUAUUGGGUUUAAAGGGUGCGUAGGCUGGGAGGUAAGUCAGCGGUGAAAUGCCCCCGCUCAACGGGGUGAAGUGCCAUUGAUACUGCCUGGCUGGAAUGCGGAUGCGGUGGGAGGAAUGUGUGGUGUAGCGGUGAAAUGCAUAGAUAUCACACAGAACACCGAUUGCGAAGGCAUCUCACGGAUCCGCGAUUGACGCUGAUGCACGAAAGCGUGGGUAUCAAACAGGAUUAGAUACCCUGGUAGUC